RNAcentral lists this ribosomal RNA (459 nucleotides) under uncultured bacterium. RNAcentral describes it as "partial 16S ribosomal RNA". It matches the Rfam family "Bacterial small subunit ribosomal RNA", at positions 338 to 795 of the family's 1533-position model. The record is from RNAcentral.
CCUACGGGGGGCAGCAGUGAGGAAUAUUGGUCAAUGGGCGAGAGCCUGAACCAGCCAAGUCGCGUGAGGGCAUACGGCCCUAUGGUUUGUACCCCUCUUUUGCCGUGGAGCAAAAAGCGGUACGUGUACCGCAUCGAGAGUACCCGGAGAAAAAGCAUCGGCUAACUCCGUGCCAGCAGCCGCGGUAAUACGGAGGAUCCGAGCGUUAUCCGGAUUUAUUGGGGUAAAAGGGUGCGUAGGCGGCGGGUUAAGUCAGCGGUAAAAUUUCGGGGCUCAACCCCGACAAGCCGUUGAAACUGGCUUGCUAGAGUGGGCGAGAAGUAUGCGGAAUGCGUGGUGUAGCGGUGAAAUGCAUAGAUAUCACACAGAACACCGAUUGCGAAGGCAUCUCACGAAUCCGCGAUUGACGCUGAUGCACGAAAGCGUGGGUAUCAAACAGGAUUAGAUACCCCAGUAGUC